UCCUGGGGUCAAGCAGCCCCUCAAUGGCGGUUUAUGCGCGCCCUUUUCUGGAACAUUCGCGGCUUCGGCCAUGACGGCCGCCGCGGCCAGCUAGUUGAGUACAUCCGGGACGAGCACAUCGACAUCAACGCCAUCCAAGAAACCAUGCGCACGGAUUUCUGUCUCCCCAAGCUUGACAGCCUUAGCUCCCACCUGUUCGCCUGGCAUUGGCUCCCUUCUAGUGGGAACAAUGGCCACUCGGGUGGCAUCCUCUUCGGUGUUAAGGAUUCCACCUUUGAGGUGGGA
This 285-nucleotide ribosomal RNA is filed under the name Triticum aestivum (bread wheat). Its description in RNAcentral is "partial small subunit ribosomal RNA". Lineage: Eukaryota; Viridiplantae; Streptophyta; Magnoliopsida; Poales; Poaceae. The record is from RNAcentral.